GUUCAACGGGAAGCUACGCCGAGUUGAUCCGCCAGCGACUAUCCAAAGCGACAACGUCAAAAACUCGACAUGCUGAAACUUCGACGAUUGAUGGACCAUCGCCGGCCUCGUCGAGUACACUUUUCGGACCAGCCUCGGGAGUAGGUCUGCUCUCCGGUGGCAGUUUCGCAGCUCAAUUCUUUUCUCCCACCAAGUGGUUUUCCGCCGGCUGGCUUGUUUCGGCGAGUACACUACACGACCAACAGGUCCAUCCCUAGCGCGGCACAAUCUUGCUCUUUACGUGGCGCCGAAAUGAAAAUGAAUCCGACUCGCGAAAAGAGGCCACCCGUGAAGUGGAAACAAGCUUCAUCACAUCCUAUUCUUCCCGAUGGUCAGCGCCAACACCAGGGGCAAUCCCGGCCGCUAGACGCCACCGACUUCGGGUUGCCAGUCAUGUCAAUGGGCGGGAACCCCCGACAUCGUGCCCGUGCCCGAGUCCACAUCACGGAAACACCGCCCGACCAGUAAAGGUAUCAAGAGAUCAACCAGUAUCUCGACUGUACCCACACAUCCGCCUCUCCCAUCAACCCCGCCAAGCGACGAUUCGGGGCUAAACGGCACCUAAACCCCAUCUCCGAGCGGCCAACGCGGGUUUCCGGUGCUGCUGCGAGCACUUGCAGCCUGUCUGCAUUGCAAGUGAAGCUUCCGCGUUCAACAUACGGUGCGACCUUAUCUCGCAUGUGGGCGCUAUAUACGGGCCGACAUACCCUUGGCGCUGGACUUCACUGGUACUGUAGCUGCCAGCUUGUCGCAUCCAAGACGGACACCCAUCUCCGCUCCCAGUUCGUACUUACCCACCAUUCGUCUAUCUUUUGCUUGGUUUAUGUUUGAGGCCAGCGUACUGUGACUGAUUGACCAGCCUCCACACGAAUGUGGGCGUCGGCGAUCUCGAAAACCACCGAGGUGCACAGUUGCCGGUGUAUGGUUUGUACGAGACUUUGUGAAUUACUUCACAGCAGCUUGCCAACUGCCUUUUGAGCCUGAUGAUGCGGCCAAGCUAACCUGGAUGAUGCGGCCAAGCUAACUUGCAAGCUGUCCGCCUCAUUUUCCGAUCUGUCUGUCUCUUUCACUGAUUGAUCGUCAUCAACGGCAAGAGCAGCACAACAAGUGUCUUCAGCGCACUUUCCCAUCUCAUCCCAGAUCACGCUUUCCAUUGAGUCCAGUGGCCAGGAGCAGGUCUCUGUCGAAAUACUGGACAUGUUCCUUCCCUUGAAAACGGAAUGGCAAGCUGGACUUUUGGGGAGAGCAGGGUUGCGGACGGAAGCAUAUACCACUAGCCAUAUCGCGAUUGUUGACGAGCGGAACAGGAGUCACUUUCCAGAUUUACCGGACGACGAAGAAGACGUCCAUGUCACGUACGAAUUAUGUACAAUUGAAGAUUUGCCAAGAAUCGAAUACAGAAUCGUUACUUCCC
Non-coding RNA from Neurospora crassa OR74A, 1453 nucleotides. The record is from RefSeq and is a predicted model, not a curated record. NCBI's taxonomy places the organism in Eukaryota, Fungi, Ascomycota, Sordariomycetes, Sordariales, Sordariaceae.